AUGGACUCAGCCCCCAGAUAUCUAUCCAACUUUUUUUAUAUUUCUUACCAGAGCCAGAGACUCUAAUAUUCACAGUUUUUUAAAUAUGAGUCUAUCUGGAAAGAACAGAUGUGUAUAUACUGUAUACCAGCGCUGUUGAGUAGAACACCACAGAAACUCCAAGCCAUACCAACCAUAACCACUUUAAAAAGAAUGUAACAAGCUGACGACUGUGUGAACAGUAGAACUUGAUUUUAUCCAGCUCUGUAAUGUAUCUGUAAUGUGUCUCUGUAAUGUAUCUCUGUAAUGUAUCUCUGUAAUGUGUCUGUGUCUCUGGAAUGUGUCUGUAUCUCUGUAAUGUGUCUCUGUAAUAUGUCUGUAUCUCUGUAAUGUGUCUCUGUAAUGUGUCUCUGUAAUGUGUCUGUAUCUCUGUAAUGUGUCUGUGUCUCUGUAAUGUGUCUGUCUCUGUAAUGUCUCUGUCUCUGUAAUGUGUCUCUGUAAUGUGUCUGUAAUGUGUCUGUGUCUCUGUAAUGUGUCUGUAUCUCUGUAAUGUGUCUCUGUAAUGUGUCUGUAUCUCUGUAAUGUGUCUGUGUCUCUGUAAUGUGUCUGUAUCUCUGUAAUGUGUCUGUAUCUCUGUAAUGUGUCUCUGUAAUGUGUCUGUAUCUCUGUAAUGUGUCUCUGUAAUGUGUCUGUAUCUCUGUAAUGUGUCUCUGUAAUGUGUCUGUGUCUCUGUAAUGUGUCUGUGUCUCUGUAAUGUGUCUGUAUCUCUGUAAUGUAUCUCUGUAAUGUGUCUGUAUCUCUUGUCUGUAUCUCUGUAAUGUGUCUGUAUCUCUGUAAUGUGUCUGUAUCUCUGUAAUGUGUCUGUGUCUGUAAUGUGUCUGUAUCUCUGUAAUGUGUCUGUAAUGUGUCUGUAUCUCUGUAAUGUGUCUGUAAUGUCUCUGUAUCUCUGUAAUGUGUCUGUAUCUCUGUAAUGUGUCUGUAUCUCUGUAAUGUGUCUCUGUAAUGUCUCUGUAUCUAUAUAAUGUGUCUGUAUCUCUGUAAUGUGUCUGUAUCUCUGUAAUGUCUCUGUAAUGUGUCUGUAUCUCUGUAAUGUGUCUGUCUCUGUAAUGUGUCUGUAAUGUGUCUGUAUCUAUAUAAUGUCUCUGUAAUGUGUCUGUAAUGUGUCUGUAUCUAUAUAAUGUGUCUGUAUCUCUGUAAUGUGUCUGUAUCUCUGUAAUGUGUCUGUAAUGUGUCUGUAUC
This 1218-nucleotide long non-coding RNA is filed under the name Salmo salar (Atlantic salmon). Its description in RNAcentral is "lncRNA (ENSSSAG00000102976.1)". The record is from RNAcentral. Lineage: Eukaryota; Metazoa; Chordata; Actinopteri; Salmoniformes; Salmonidae.